RNAcentral lists this long non-coding RNA (270 nucleotides) under Elaeis guineensis (African oil palm). RNAcentral's name for it is "long non-coding RNA (EGUI_LNC020896)". The record is from RNAcentral. Lineage: Eukaryota; Viridiplantae; Streptophyta; Magnoliopsida; Arecales; Arecaceae.
UCAUAUUUGUAUUGUAUGAACACUUUGUUUUACAAAACACACACACACAUGCACUGUAUCCAUAGCCCGGAUCCGUUGACAAUAAACAUGAAUAAUCUUCAGCUAAUACCAGAGUGGUGACGAUCCCUGAUAUCCAUGAGAUAAGGAUGAGAAUAUGAUAGUCUCAAUUGCUUUACAGUGGUCAUGUUUGCAUAAACCGAAUCCACUUUUUUUUAGCUACAUUUUUUAUCAAGGCUGUCCACAACUAGAAGGUAAGAAUAAGAUAACCCA